This 467-nucleotide ribosomal RNA is filed under the name uncultured bacterium. Its description in RNAcentral is "partial 16S ribosomal RNA". It matches the Rfam family "Bacterial small subunit ribosomal RNA", at positions 28 to 507 of the family's 1533-position model. The record is from RNAcentral.
GAUGAACGCUGACAGCAUGCUUAACACAUGCAAGUCAACUUGAAUUUGGGUUUUUAACUUCGGUUUGGGUGGCGGACGGGUGAGUAACGCGUAAAGAACUUGCCUCACAGCUAGGGACAACAUUUGGAAACGAAUACUAAUACCUAAUAUUAUGAUAAUAGGGCAUCCUAUAAUUAUGGAAGCUAUAAGCGCUGUGAGAGAGCUUUGCGUCCCAUUAGCUAGUUGGAGAGGUAACGGCUCACCAAGGCGAUGAUGGGUAGCCGGCCUGAGAGGGUGAUCGGCCACAAGGGGACUGAGACACGGCCCUUACUCCUACGGGAGGCAGCAGUGGGGAAUAUUGGACAAUGGACCAAGAGUCUGAUCCAGCAAUUCUGUGUGCACGAUGAAGUUUUUCGGAAUGUAAAGUGCUUUCAGUUGGGAAGAAAGAAAUGACGGUACCAACAGAAGAAGUGACGGCUAAAUACGUG